GAUGAAGAACGCAGUGAAAUGCGAUAAGUAAUGUGAAUUGCAGAAUUCAGUGAAUCAUCGAAUCUUUGAACGCACAUUGCGCCCCCUGGUAUUCCGGGGGUCAUGCCUGUCCGAGCGUCAUUGCUGCCCUCAAGCACGGCUUGUGUGUUGGGCCUCCGUCCUCCUCCCGGGGGACGGGCCCGAAAGGCAGCGGCGGCACCGCGUCCGGUCCUCGAGCGUAUGGGGCUUCGUCACCCGCUCUUGUAGGCCCGGCCGGCGCUUGCCGACACAUCAAUCUUUUUUCCAGGUUGACCUCGGAUCAGGUAGGGAUACCCGCUGAACUUAAGCAUAUCAAUAAGCGGAGGA
This 345-nucleotide unclassified non-coding RNA is filed under the name soil metagenome. Its description in RNAcentral is "partial contains 5.8S ribosomal RNA, internal transcribed spacer 2, and large subunit ribosomal RNA". The stretch from base 1 to 120 matches the Rfam family "5.8S ribosomal RNA", at positions 35 to 154 of the family's 154-position model. The record is from RNAcentral.